This 75-nucleotide transfer RNA is filed under the name Streptomyces sp. A012304. RNAcentral describes it as "tRNA-Gln". Lineage: Bacteria; Bacillati; Actinomycetota; Actinomycetes; Kitasatosporales; Streptomycetaceae. The record is from RNAcentral.
UCGCCUUCGUCGAGGACGGCGUCGCCGCCUUUGAUGUGGCGGGCGGGGUUGUGGUCCUGUUCCAUGAGGUCGACC